This 30-nucleotide non-coding RNA is filed under the name Rattus norvegicus (Norway rat). Lineage: Eukaryota; Metazoa; Chordata; Mammalia; Rodentia; Muridae. The record is from RNAcentral.
UAGAAAAUGUUAAAGGUUUUUAAAAGAUUU